This is a long non-coding RNA of Mauremys mutica (yellowpond turtle), 4106 nucleotides long. RefSeq lists it as uncharacterized. The transcript has 13 exons. The record is from RefSeq and is a predicted model, not a curated record. NCBI's taxonomy places the organism in Eukaryota, Metazoa, Chordata, Testudines, Geoemydidae.
CCCCAGGUCCUCUGCAGUAUACCAUCAAACCCUGUGGCGCAACCCUCUCCAAUAGCUACACCCAUGUCUGUUGAAGAGCAGCAAGAGACCCAGAGUGACCAAUCGCCACUGUUCAGUAGCUUCAGCUGAACCUGCUUCAAGAGAAGCUGCCAAACCAUUGGAACCUCCCAGUGGAGCUGGAGCCGAAGCACAUGUGGAAAUGAAAUGUGAAAGUGAUGGAAUACAACCAUGAAGCUUUUAAUUCCUAUCCUAAUAACCUGUGCAGUGGGGAAAUCCCCAAGGGCAGGACUAGCCUACAGAACUGAAUAGGGAAGGAUAUAAUUUCCUACUGCAGGGGCCAGGGCCCUGAAGCACUGGAUGUUUGUGCCACUAUCACUAGCUUUAAAAUCCUGUCGCUUCUCUUAUUCUGCAUCCUUUGAAGGACACAAUAUUUGACUUCUGAAGUGGCAGGAAAUGAGAGAUUUCAUGAAUGAACUCUGCCUUGCCAAACUGUCAGAUGAGGACUAAUUUUUACUCUGUCCAGAAGAUUUAAGAUGGCUGCAUUGUACAUCCAACUGCUCAACAUUUGUGACCAUGGCGGGUUAUCGCAGCAAACGCUCUUCUGCUUGGACCACUGUGGAUCUGCUGGAUCUGCUCAGUAUUUGGGGAGAGGAGGCUGUGCAGUCCCAGCUGCACGUGAACCGUAGGAAUUUUGAUACCUACAGGCAAAUUUCUCGAGGCUUGCGUGAAAAGAGCAGUGAUUGGGACAUGCAGCAGUGCAGAAGAUAAAGGAGCUGAGGCAGGUGCACCAGAAGGCGAGGGAAGCAAACCGUCGCUCCAGUGCUGCACCUAAGACCUGCCACUUCUAUAAGGAGCUGGCCGCUAUUCUCAGUGACAACCUCACCACCACCUGCAAGAGCCCCGUGGAUAUUUCGACAGGCCUGGAGGUGGCGAAAAGAGGACCUAACCCGGAGGACGAAGUCAUUGAUGAAGAGGUGGAGUUAGAUGAUGUGGAGCUCCUGGCAGGUAUCUAGCCAGUCUCAGCAGUUGCUCUCUGGCAAUCAGAAGCAGGAGAGGAGAUGCCUGGUAAGUGGCUGUGGUUUGUGUGACGCAGAGGUGGGUUCAGGGUAUAGAACUAUACAUGUCUGGCUGUGUUUCUGUGUGCUGGAUAUUUCCCUGUGCAGCUAUUCACUUCGGUGGAACAGGGUGUUGCUGCACACCAAGAUCUCACGGGAAUCCUCCAGAGAGAUCUCUAGGAAAGUUUCCUGGAGGUACUCAGCAAUCCUCUGCCAAAGGUUCCUUUGCAGAACUGCUUUGUUCCUUCCCCAUGGUAGGAAACUUUCCUGCACCAUCCGGCAAUCAUUUGUGCAAGGAUCAAAGUGGCACACAGGCAAGCAGCAUAGGGACCAGGGCAGAAGCCACAAGCGUGUAGUAGAUGUAUCCUCGCUUCCCUGCUUACUCUCAGCAGUGAGAUCCCUGCAUGUGGAAAAGUGUGGGAGAAUUUUAGAAUUUUUUCCCCCUAGUUGGCUGCACCGCAACCCUGGCAGUGUGUUCUUUUCCCCAUGCUGAGCACCCCCUCCCCUAGCCAACAUUCACCGGGCUUUGGGUGUUUGUCGAGAUGUGCGGUUGCCAAGAGUCAGUGAGAAAGUGAUUGUUUGGUUCUAAUAAAGAAAAAGGGUCAUGGUAGCUUCUGCCUCUGCCCCAUAACAGGGAGGGCUGGCAGUGCUGUUCCCUUGCAUUCUCUCUGCCUCUAAAUGAGGAUUAGUAAAAAUGAAGAAUUUCCAAUUACAAGUAGCUUAGUGAAGUAAAGGGAGAGAGUGCCUCCUCUUUUGACAGCAAGCUGGGUGGGGAUGCAUGCUUUACUCAGUAAAUUGGACUAUGUUCCUCGUUAAUUUUUUGUUUUAACCUUUUUGAUCUGCAAUUUGUCGAGGUUUUGCUGUCCUUGAAGACGGUGCACUGGAUCACUGUCUGCAGGAACAAGAGAGUAAGAGCUGGAAUCCACGGGCUGAUAGUGAUUGGAGUGGAAACCCUGCCUCCUUGAAAGGGAGGAGAUAAACAAGAGUAGGGACCGAACCAGGGUGAAGAAAGAAGGCUCGCCAGAGAUUAAGAGUGAAUCCGGCAUCCAAGUGUCUGUCACUUUCAAAACUGGAACUUAACUGCUUUUGAAAAUUUUAUCUUUUAUCUUGAGAGAUGAGAAUCCCCAGCAGCCUUUCAGCACUAACCCCCUGAAAUGGCAGCUGGCAGAACUAGAACUUGGGAAUCAGGAGCAGUUCCUACAAGAAGAAGAACUGGCUUGGAGACUGAAGGAGGAGGAGUAGACUCAUGCCUUAGAGAGGAAGGAGGAACCAGGAAUGCAAUGACAACUGUUGAACAGCCCAGGUGGCUCAGGAUGAGGAGAUUGCUAGAUAUAUGCAGAACCAGGAACUAAAAGCCCAGUGGAGAUCCCAUGAGACAAACCUGGAGACAGAGAACAGUGAUGAGGGGAGCAACUUAUCUGAGCCAAGGAGAAGCAAGGACAAGAAGGCAACAGUUCCUCAAAAGACUGCUGAAGAUCUGGAACCAACUUUUAAGUGAAAAAAGAACCACCUGCUGAAGUGUUUGCAUUCUGCUCCCAAGCUGCCCAGUCACACACUGUCCCAGUUGAUGGCCAUCGGACCUGCCUUUAUUCACCGACCAAAUGUCAGCCUGAAAAGCUAGGACACCAAAAAUCCAGGGACAAGAAGGAAGGUUGUAAGCAGCAGUGAAUCCUAAAGCCUUCACCUACAGCCUACUUCUUCUAGCAACAACAAAAUAUAUUUCUUCCCCAUAACUAAGAGGAGAAAAUAAUGGCUUGAAAAUAUUUUCCAGGAAGUAUUGAAGAAACUAAACUUGAAAAGAUGAGAACAAUAGCUUCACAUGUCUCUUGAAGACUGUCAUGUAGGGUUUAUAGGCUUUUUGGAGGAAAUCCAUUUUCAGGAAGGACAUGAAGGGGAGGACUGAAGCUUGCCUGACCAAGUCAAGGAGGGAGUUCCAGCUGCAGGAAGCUUCACAGGAAAGGGUGUGGACAAAAGGAUGGGUUUCCUUCCAUGUCACUUGUGAGACACAUUAAAAGAUUAGCCAAGACACACUCCAAAAUACCUCCAAGAAGCAGAGAUACUGAGGAAGAUAGGAGGUUUCUCUACAUUGUGCAGGUGAUGUCCCACUCGUACACCUAAGAGUGUCAUUUCCUGGGAGCUUCCUGUGGUUUCAUUUGUUGUCGGUCUUAGGCAGGUAGGAAACCGUCAAAUAUUGUAUCUUUACAAAAUUGUGCCACCUCUAGAGCUGGGUCACAUUUUUUGGCCAAAUAGUUUAGUUUCCAAAAAAUGCUGUUUCGAUGAACCUGCAACUAUUCAUGAAUUUCCCAGCUAAAACUAAUUGGGUCAAAAACUUUUUCAGCGCCAGCUUCAGAAACCCAUGUGUGUCUGUAUGUUGUCCUCCUAACCUUUUGCCCAGUGGUUAGGGCACUUGACACACCACUUUGAAUCAUGCAGAGAGAAGAUUCAAGUUUUCAUAGCCUACCUCCCAAGUGAGUGCCUUAAUCACCAGGCUAUAAAGUUAUUUGCAUUUUCUCUUUGACCCAAUGAAUAUUUAAGUAGUUAAUAUGAAGUGGAACAACUUCAACAGGAGAGACUGAGAGCAACCCACACAGAAUAGCCUAUAGCCUGGUGCUUCAGAUGCUCAUUUGCGAGGGAGGAGAUGUGAGUCUGAGUCCCUGCUCCACAGUCUGGAUUCAAAUAUGGUUCUCCUCCAUAUUUUAGUGCAAGUGCACUAAAAUCACUGGGAUAAAGGUUAAAAGGGGACAGACAUGGAUGGAGACACACACUUUUUCUGACUCAAAAGAAACAGAUGAUCCAAAAUAGACUCUUCCAAUUUGCAUUCAAAGUCUGAAUAUUUUCUGAACGGAACCAAUUUUUUGUUCCGAUUUUUAAUUUGCUGGCUGACUCCAAAAAAAUAAAUUACUCACCGAGCUCCAGUCACUACCAAAUUCCAAAGGGCCACGGGAGACCACCUUUGUAACAUUUCUAAAGCUAAUUUCCUCCCAAUAACCUGAUUUUUUUUAAAAAUAAUAAUAAUAAUCAAAAUCUAAAACCUGAUUUUCUUUUCACAGU